This 498-nucleotide ribosomal RNA is filed under the name uncultured bacterium. RNAcentral's name for it is "partial 16S ribosomal RNA". It matches the Rfam family "Bacterial small subunit ribosomal RNA", at positions 29 to 523 of the family's 1533-position model. The record is from RNAcentral.
AAUAAACGCUGGCGGCGUGCCUAACACAUGCAAGUCGAGCGAGAAAGCUUCUUCGGAAGUUAGUAAAGCGGCGAACGGGUGAGUAACGCGUAGGAAUCUACCUUUUAGUGAAGAAUACCCUCGAGAAAUCGAGGUUAAUACUGCAUAAGUCCCUCACGGGAGAAAGGCGGCCUCUUUGCUGUCGCUAAAAGAUGAGCCUGCGUACUAUUAGCUAGUUGGUAGGGUAAUGGCCUACCAAGGCGAUGAUGGUUAGCCGGCCUGAGAGGGUGUUCGGCCACACUGGGACUGAGACACGGCCCAGACUCCUACGGGAGGUAGCAGUGGGGAAUAUUGGACAAUGGGGGGAACCCUGAUCCAGCCAUGCCGCGUGUGUGAAGAAGGCCUUAUGGUUGUAAAGCACUUUAAGCGAGGAGGAGGCUCUUUUGGUUAAUACCCAAGAUGAGUGGACGUUACUCGCAGAAUAAGCACCGGCUAACUCUGUGCCAGCCGCCGCUGUAA